GUAGGGNAACCUGCGGAGGGAUCAUUACAGAGUUCUAAAAGACUCCCAAAACCAUUGUGAACGUACCCGUCAGCGUUGCCUCGGCGGGCGGCCCCUCCCUGGGGCCGCUGCCUCCCUCGGGGGGUGCCCGCCGGCGUACCAAAACUCUUUUGUAUUUUAGUGGCCUCUCUGAGAAAACAAGCAAAUAAGUUAAAACUUUCAACAACGGAUCUCUUGGUUCUGGCAUCGAUGAAGAACGCAGCGAAAUGCGAUAAGUAAUGUGAAUUGCAGAAUUCAGUGAAUCAUCGAAUCUUUGAACGCACAUUGCGCCCGCCAGUACUCUGGCGGGCAUGCCUGUUCGAGCGUCAUUUCAACCCUCAAGCCCUGCUUGGUGUUGGGGUCCUACGGCUGCCGUAGGCCCUGAAAGCUAGUGGCGGGCUCGCUAUAACUCCGAGCGUAGUAGUAAAAUAUCUCGCUAGGGAGGUGUCGCGGGUUCCGGCCGUGAAAGCCCAUCUUUUACACAAGGUGACCUCG
RNAcentral lists this ribosomal RNA (513 nucleotides) under Fimetariella rabenhorstii. RNAcentral's name for it is "eukaryotic LSU rRNA". The stretch from base 194 to 347 matches the Rfam family "5.8S ribosomal RNA". Lineage: Eukaryota; Fungi; Ascomycota; Sordariomycetes; Sordariales; Lasiosphaeriaceae. The record is from RNAcentral.